Molecule: small nuclear RNA, 143 nt
Filed under: Spermophilus dauricus (Daurian ground squirrel)
Lineage: Eukaryota; Metazoa; Chordata; Mammalia; Rodentia; Sciuridae
Description: U4 spliceosomal RNA (ENSSDAG00000017045.1)
Rfam family: U4 spliceosomal RNA
About the family: U4 small nuclear RNA (U4 snRNA) is a component of the major U2-dependent spliceosome. The structure of U4 snRNA from yeast and human has been reported.
Source: Rfam by way of RNAcentral
AGCUUUGCGCAGUGGCAGUAUCGUAGCCAAUGAGGUUUAUCCGAGGCGCGAUUAUUGCUAAUUGAAAACAUACUAGUAAGUCCUCGUACCUGACAACAAUGCUCAGGUUGUUUCUCACAAUUCUUUAAUAUAAACCCAGUAUU